Hydra vulgaris (swiftwater hydra) is the source of this 1364-nucleotide long non-coding RNA. RefSeq lists it as uncharacterized. NCBI's taxonomy places the organism in Eukaryota, Metazoa, Cnidaria, Hydrozoa, Anthoathecata, Hydridae. The record is from RefSeq and is a predicted model, not a curated record.
UGAACAUCAAAGGACAAAACUAUAGUUUUGUCCUUUGAUGUUCACAGUAUUUCUAAUACAACAUUUACAGAUUAAAUCAUGAGAAGAAGUGGUUGUUUUUUAUUUAAAAACAGAUUGUAUCACGAGAAAAAGUAGUAAAAGUGAAGAAAUCCUUUUAAUUGAAAAUUUAGAGAUUGUAUCACGAGAAGAAGUGGUUGUAGUUCAUUUAGAAACAGAUUGUAUCACGAGAAGAAGUGGAAAAAAAUUUCUGUAUUUUAAGAUAAAGGUUGAAAUAUAAAAAUGAAGAUGGAAGCAAAGUUUAAAAAAUUUGCUGUAGUUGAAUUUCUUAAUGAAAAAAAAAAAAAGCAUGUGUGCCAUGGACGUUAUCUGUUUGUCAUGGCUGAUCAAUGAAAGUUUAGUGUGUUGGCCAAAUCACUUGCGAUCAUUUCGCCUUUUAACUGCCAUACGCGAAGUAACACUUACUCCUGUAAGUAACUGGAAACAGCUAAAAAUAAGAGUUCUUUAUUAUUUUGUUAUGAAACUGCUGUAGAACAAAUGGAAAUGUUAGAGUUCACAUCAAGCGUUGAAACAGUUGCUGAUAGCGAUGAGAAAUUGUCCAUGCCACCAGCUAAAAAGUUAGCAGUUUGUAAUACAAUUGACACUGAGGAGACAUAUCCAUCAGUUUUCCCAAGAUUGAAGAAAUCUUUUAAUUGCCAAAAUAUUUUACAACCCACAACUGUUCGAUAUAUUGAGUCAUUUAGUUUGAAUCGUUCUCUACUGAUAUUUUCCUCUUCUGAUCAGAGCUUGGCAGCUGUUGUGGCUGCUUUAGGCACCCGAUUUCCUGGUAAAGGAUUACCUUGAUGGGUUAUUUGUUUGAAGGUUUAAUUAAAUGUACUCUUUAAUAUAUUUUUGAAUAUGAACUUCCUUGCAUCGGUUGGAGGCGACGAUUACAAGCAACUUACCACGGCUAUCUUAAAACAACUAAUGGCUAAAAAAGUAUGCUUGUUAUACUCUAUGUAUGGCAGGAAACAAAAGAAAUCAUUUUCGCCUCUUACAAGCUGCCAUAACAAAAAUUUGAAAACGCUAAUGACAAAAGCAUUAAAGAAAGAAUCGGCAGCUUUCUGGCAACGGCCAUUGAUAGAGAAGACGGAAGAAAGAAUAGAACCGCAAUUGAGCAAAGCCCACUAUUGAGCGAUGAAAAUGAAUGUCGCCAAGAUAAUGAAAAUCAAUGCCCACUAUCUGAUAGUGAGAGUGUAACGCUGUAAUAUAUAUAUAUAUAUAUAUAUAUAUAUAUAUAUAUAUAUAUAUAUAUAUAUAUAUAUAUAUAUAUUCAUUUGUAUCAGUUUAAUAUAACUUCUGAUAAAUUUAUUAUUAGAUUUUAAAAA